UCUGCCCACUGAGUUUUUAAAGGGCCGCGGUAAUUUGACCGUGCGAAGGUAGCAUAAUCAGUAGUCUUUUAAUUGGAGGCUUGAAUGAAUGGCUGGAUGAGGGACAUUCUGUCUUUGUUGUAUAUUAGAAUUUAACUUUUAAGUGAAAAGGCUUAAAUUUUUUGGGGGGACGAUAAGACCCUAUAAAACUUAAUACAUUUAAGUUUUAGUUGAUAAUUAUUUAUAACUUAGUUUUAAUUAUGAUGUAUUUCGUUGGGGAAACGUUGAUAUAAUAAUUAAUUGUCUUUAAAAUAUAAUAGCAUUUGUUAGGUUAAGAUCCUGUUUUAUGGAUUAAAAGUUUAAGUUACUUUAGGGAUAACAGCGUCAUUUUCUUUGAGAGUUCUUAUCGACAAGAUUAGUUGCGACCUCGAUGUUGAAUUAAAAUUAAAAGUUGGUGUAGCAGCUAGCUUUAUUAUUAGGUCUGUUCGACCUUUAAAAUUUU
This 481-nucleotide ribosomal RNA is filed under the name Periclimenaeus schmitti. RNAcentral describes it as "partial 16S ribosomal RNA". It matches the Rfam family "Bacterial large subunit ribosomal RNA", at positions 1858 to 2597 of the family's 2925-position model. Lineage: Eukaryota; Metazoa; Arthropoda; Malacostraca; Decapoda; Palaemonidae. The record is from RNAcentral.